GAUGAACGCUGGCGGCGUGCCUAAUACAUGCAAGUCGAGCGAACAGACGAGGAGCUUGCUCCUCUGACGUUAGCGGCGGACGGGUGAGUAACACGUGGAUAACCUACCUAUAAGACUGGGAUAACUUCGGGAAACCGGAGCUAAUACCGGAUAAUAUAUUGAACCGCAUGGUUCAAUAGUGAAAGACGGUUUUGCUGUCACUUAUAGAUGGAUCCGCGCCGCAUUAGCUAGUUGGUAAGGUAACGGCUUACCAAGGCGACGAUGCGUAGCCGACCUGAGAGGGUGAUCGGCCACACGGGAACGGAGACACGGUCCAGACGCCUACGGGAGGCAGCAGUAGGGAAUCUUCCGCAAUGGGCGAAAGCCUGACGGAGCAACGCCGCGUGAGUGAUGAAGGUCUUCGGAUCGUAAAACUCUGUUAUUAGGGAAGAACAAAUGUGUAAGUAACUAUGCACGUCUUGACGGUACCUAAUCAGAAAGCCACGGCUAACUACGUG
This 497-nucleotide ribosomal RNA is filed under the name uncultured bacterium. Its description in RNAcentral is "partial 16S ribosomal RNA". It matches the Rfam family "Bacterial small subunit ribosomal RNA", at positions 28 to 507 of the family's 1533-position model. The record is from RNAcentral.